This 386-nucleotide ribosomal RNA is filed under the name uncultured bacterium. RNAcentral's name for it is "bacterial SSU rRNA". It matches the Rfam family "Bacterial small subunit ribosomal RNA", at positions 28 to 414 of the family's 1533-position model. The record is from RNAcentral.
GACGAACGCUGGCGGCGUGCUUAACACAUGCAAGUCGAGCGGUAAGGCCCUUUCGGGGGUACACGAGCGGCGAACGGGUGAGUAACACGUGGGUGACCUGCCCUCAGCUCUGGGAUAAGCCUGGGAAACCGGGUCUAAUACUGGAUAUGACUCCAUGACGCAUGUUGUGGGGUGGAAAGCCUUGUGCGGCUGAGGAUGGGCCCGCGGCCUAUCAGCUUGUUGGUGGGGUGANGGCCUACCAAGGCGACGACGGGUAGCCGGCCUGAGAGGGCGACCGGCCACACUGGGACUGAGACACGGCCCAGACUCCUACGGGAGGCAGCAGUGGGGAAUCUUGCGCAAUGGGCGAAAGCCUGACGCAGCGACGCCGCGUGAGGGAGUGACGG